Molecule: ribosomal RNA, 465 nt
Filed under: Vreelandella stevensii
Lineage: Bacteria; Pseudomonadati; Pseudomonadota; Gammaproteobacteria; Oceanospirillales; Halomonadaceae
Description: partial 16S ribosomal RNA
Rfam family: Bacterial small subunit ribosomal RNA
Source: RNAcentral
CCUACGGGUGGCUGCAGUGGGGAAUAUUGGACAAUGGGGGCAACCCUGAUCCAGCCAUGCCGCGUGUGUGAAGAAGGCCCUCGGGUUGUAAAGCACUUUCAGUGAGGAAGAACGCCUGGUGGUUAAUACCCAUCAGGAAAGACAUCACUCACAGAAGAAGCACCGGCUAACUCCGUGCCAGCAGCCGCGGUAAUACGGAGGGUGCGAGCGUUAAUCGGAAUUACUGGGCGUAAAGCGCGCGUAGGUGGCUUGAUAAGCCGGUUGUGAAAGCCCCGGGCUCAACCUGGGAACGGCAUCCGGAACUGUCAAGCUAGAGUGCAGGAGAGGAAGGUAGAAAUCCCGGUGUAGCGGUGAAAUGCGUAGAGAUCGGGAGGAAUACCAGUGGCGAAGGCGGCCUUCUGGACUGACACUGACACUGAGGUGCGAAAGCGUGGGUAGCAAACAGGAUUAGAUACCCCUGUAGUC